RNAcentral lists this ribosomal RNA (464 nucleotides) under uncultured bacterium. RNAcentral's name for it is "partial 16S ribosomal RNA". It matches the Rfam family "Bacterial small subunit ribosomal RNA", at positions 28 to 507 of the family's 1533-position model. The record is from RNAcentral.
GACGAACGCUGGCGGCGUGCUUAACACAUGCAAGUCGAACGCUGAACCCGCUUCGGUGGGGGAUGAGUGGCGAACGGGUGAGUAACACGUGGGCAACCUGCCCCCGGCUCUGGGAUAACUCCAAGAAAUUGGGGCUAAUACCGGAUGUGACCGCUGGCCGCAUGGUCUGGUGGUGGAAAGGGUUUCCGGCUGGGGAUGGGCCCGCGGCCUAUCAGCUUGUUGGUGGGGUAGUGGCCUACCAAGGCGACGACGGGUAGCCGGCCUGAGAGGGUGACCGGCCACACUGGGACUGAGACACGGCCCAGACUCCUACGGGAGGCAGCAGUGGGAAUAUUGCGCAAUGGGCGGAAGCCUGACGCAGCGACGCCGCGUGGGGGAUGACGGCCUUCGGGUUGUAAACCUCUUUCAGCAGGGACGAAGCGCAAGUGACGGUACCUGCAGAAGAAGCACCGGCCAACUACGUG